RNAcentral lists this long non-coding RNA (234 nucleotides) under Coffea arabica (coffee). RNAcentral describes it as "long non-coding RNA (CARA_LNC008143)". Lineage: Eukaryota; Viridiplantae; Streptophyta; Magnoliopsida; Gentianales; Rubiaceae. The record is from RNAcentral.
ACAGUAAAAUCGACAUAUCUCACUCUACACCACUCCAAAUGACCUGAAAUUUUGCAGACACCUCUAAAUUAUCAUUCCAUACAACUUUCAUGAAGACCACUCAGUCCAUUUCUCACCCUAACUAGGUCAUAUUUACCAAAACAACCCCAGAUUUUCUAGUUCGAAGCUCACUGUGGCAGUUCUGAUUCAUUCAGUCAUAACUCAGCACACACAACUCCAAAUCAAGUAAUUCCA